This 253-nucleotide ribosomal RNA is filed under the name uncultured bacterium. RNAcentral describes it as "partial 16S ribosomal RNA". It matches the Rfam family "Bacterial small subunit ribosomal RNA", at positions 524 to 776 of the family's 1533-position model. The record is from RNAcentral.
UACGUAGGGGGCAAGCGUUGUCCGGAUUUAUUGGGCGUAAAGAGCGUGUAGGCGGCCAGGUAGGUCUGCUGUGAAAACUCGAGGCUCAACCUCGAGAUGUCGGCGGAAACCAUCUGGCUAGAGUCCGGAAGAGGAGAAUGGAAUUCCCGGUGUAGCGGUGAAAUGCGCAGAUAUCGGGAAGAACACCGGUGGCGAAGGCGGCAUCCUGGACCAACACUGACGCUGAUGAGCGAAAGCCAGGGGAGCAAACGGG